AUACCCAAGAUAGAAGAAAUGUCAAUGGCAUCAAUGGAAAAUCAUAUCUAGACAAUAAGACAACCUUUACUUCUUCUUUUUCUUCUUCUUUUAUGAGAACUGCAACCUUCACUUCAAUAUGUGACUUCCAAUAGCGUAUUAUAUCUUUGCCCAAAAAUAAGCAAAGAUUGUCAGCUAAAAAGACCAAUAGACGUUUCUCACUAAUGCUACAAAUAUAAAAACAGGAAACAACGUCAAUUUUACCCUCUAACAAUGUAGCACAGAUACUUUGUCGGAGUCACUUCCCAGUGUUGGACACUUGUCGGAUACUAACAAUCUCCGGACAUUCUCCGGACACGUGUCAAACACUCAAAUCCAAAGUGUCCUAUUUUUCUCAACCAUUUUUGUUUGGACGCUCUGAGGACACUCUAAAAAGAGCUACGGACACUCUCGGGACACUAAAAUAAAGUCGGUGGAGUUAUACGAAAUAGUAGACUCUAAUUAGAACUUCCAAGAGUCUUAUUUUUUAGGUGAUGAAUGAUGGUUUACAUUGAUUAUAAAGAGUCAUAAAUGAGGGAAAUGCCUAUUGUCGUAAUACUUUUGGGAAUGAUGUAAUGAUAAAUAUCGUUUAAGCCUUUAAGGUAUAUAUGGUGUCACACAUUUACAACUAGAGCCUUACUCCUUGUUUUCCAUUCUACAACAUUUUAAUACUUUUUAAAAUGUGUCCCCAGCA
Rhododendron vialii is the source of this 712-nucleotide long non-coding RNA. RefSeq lists it as uncharacterized. The transcript is spliced from 2 exons. The record is from RefSeq and is a predicted model, not a curated record. NCBI's taxonomy places the organism in Eukaryota, Viridiplantae, Streptophyta, Magnoliopsida, Ericales, Ericaceae.